RNAcentral lists this ribosomal RNA (831 nucleotides) under uncultured organism. Its description in RNAcentral is "bacterial SSU rRNA". It matches the Rfam family "Bacterial small subunit ribosomal RNA", at positions 8 to 832 of the family's 1533-position model. The record is from RNAcentral.
AGAGUUUGAUCCUGGCUCAGGAUGAACGCUAGCGGCGCGCUUAACACAUGCAAGUCGAGGGGUAACGCACCUUUUGGUGUGAGCUGACGACCGCAGCACGGAUGAGUAACUGGGUUGUCUGCCCUCUGGAGCGGGAGGAUAGCUUCAAGAGGGUGCUAUUACCACCCCAUUCCAUUUCUUUGGGGCCACGCGGCUGCAGCUGUCUACGGCGGUUUCUCAUGGCCCCGCCUACUUGUUGUUAGGUGGAGGGGCAACCGCUGCUACAAGCGAUAAUUGGUCUGAGUCCUGAAACGGUCAUCCCGCGACUGAGACCUGACACACACACCUAACUCCUGCAGGAGGGAGCAAUGAUGAAUAUUGGUCAAAGGCCUCACGCCUGAACCCCCCAUGCCUGAUGAAGGACUACGGACCUACAGGUUGUGUCCUACAUUUCUGAACGAACAUGAUAACAACAUCCGGCGAUCUGGCCGGACCUCUUCGAAUAACCAUCGCCUACUUCCUGCCCACCACCCGCGUAAAUACGGAGGAUGCAACGUUGAUCCGAAUUCUUGGGUUUAAAGGCGUGCGCAGGCUGUAAAGCAAGUCAGUGUGAAAACCCUCUGGCUCUUAACUCAGAGGUUGCCAUUGACUGCGUUUUACUAGUACGUAGAGAAGGACGUGCGGUUGAGGUGUGUAGCGUGAGAUAUGCAUAUAUAUAACUCAAAACACCUAUUGCAUGCGCCUCUGUCUAUACUAUAACUGACUCUGACGCACAAAAGUGUGGAGAGCGAACGAGAAUAUAUACCCUGAGACUCCACUCUGUAAACUAUGAUCACUCUGUGGUUGGCUACU